CAUGAUUUGAACAGAGUCUCCCUGAGCUCUUUUCGGAACAGCUGCCUCACUUUUUCCAUCUUUUUGAAUGCAGAUUCUUUUUGGUGUUAUUCUGUUUCUGUUGCAAGACUACAUUUGGGUGUGUGUGAGGAAGAUAUCUUUUAGUUUAAUAUCUUAGUUCAUUUUCUGUUGUUUGUAACAGAAUACCUGACACUGGGUUAUUUAUUUAAUAAGAAAGGUAUUUCUUACAGGUGUGGAGUCUAAGAAGUCCAAGGUUGAGGAGCUGCAUCUGAUGAGAGCCUUCUUGCUGGUUGGGAUCCUCUGCAGAGUCUUGAGUUGGGCAUUAAAAACUGUAUCACAGACACAUGAAUAUUGUGUGAGUAUUUCAAAGUAAAUUUGGAUUAAAAUUCAUCAAAUUCAUGACAUACAUGGAGUUCCCUGAAGCAUUAUUUCAUAUUUCCGGAUUUUCAAAGUGACUACAUAUUCAAGCAUGUAUAUAUACAAGCAUAGGCCUCAUCUCCAAGUAUUACCACACUGAGGGUCAAGACUUCAACAUAUGGUGGAGAGCAGGAGGUAUUGUGUACUUUUCAAAAUAAGAUCUCCGACAUAGCUGUUUAUCUGGAGUCCCGUGUUUAAUCCUGACAAGAAUGUUGUGGAUGUUGGCUGAAGAAAGGCUGGAGAGCAAUGGUGCAAUCGUGGCUCACUGCAACCUCCGCCUCCUGGAUUC
Molecule: long non-coding RNA, 706 nt
Filed under: Homo sapiens (human)
Lineage: Eukaryota; Metazoa; Chordata; Mammalia; Primates; Hominidae
Description: HSALNT0085410
Source: RNAcentral